CUGCAGCCCGAGUGGUGAUCGAUUUUAUUGAGCCUAAAGCGUCCGUAGCCGGACUAGUAAACCCUUGGGUAAAUUGGGCAGCUUAACUGUCCAAAUUCCGAGGGGACUGCUAGUCUUGGGACCGGGAGAGGUCAGAGGUACUCCAGGGGUAGGGGCUAAAUCCUGUAAUCCUUGGGGGACCACCAGUGGCGAAGGCGUCUGACUAGAACGGAACCGACGGUAAGGGACGAAACCCUGGGGCGCGAACCGGAUUAGAGACCCGAGUAGUCC
Molecule: ribosomal RNA, 270 nt
Filed under: uncultured archaeon
Lineage: Archaea
Description: partial 16S ribosomal RNA
Rfam family: Archaeal small subunit ribosomal RNA
Source: RNAcentral